UGAAAUUCUUGGUUUUCCACCUUUGCCCUGCUAACCGGGCCACCGGGGGGACUGCAGGGCUCCGCUCCGGCAAGCUGCUGGCCCUCCGGGCAGAGCCAGUGGCAUUCAUCUUUCCAGGUCCCUGGUUGAGAGGCAAGAAGGUGAUGAUGUUAUACUUUGAUGUCUUGAUGGAAUUGGACUGCGGAAAGAGAAAACCAGAGGCAUGAGGAGAGACCAGACCAAAGACAGUUCUGCCGGGGCUGACUUUAGCCUACUCAAAUGUUAGGUGCAUCCCAAGAGGGUAGAGGUCCCUCUUCGGCCCACCGCCUCACUCUAGAUUCCUGACUCAGCAACAGGCGGGGGAAACCUCGCGCCAGCCUCCAGUGACACGUCUCAGGGCUCGGUGAAAUAAUGAAGAGCCGUCUCCGAUAUCUGCUGCAGCCCUGGCACACGCUGCUUCCUGUGACCAGAGUCUUCGGCUUCGGAAGAAUACCUAGGCGGCCUGAGGGGAGACACCUAAGGAAUCAUGGUUGCGGGUUCUUUAGGUGGAAAUGGGGUUUUGCCGCUACACCGUCUCCAGGGAUGAAUCCUGGCAGUCUGAGCCUCUCGGGAUUGCAACUCUGGCCUCUCCCCUGACUCAAGGAGAUUUUUGGUUCUCUGUGGCCCCUUCAAGGGCGUGCCGGCUUCCCAGGGUCGGGAAGGUAACAAGCCACCCACACCUGCAGCCUGACAAAUGAUUGCCUCGGUCCUCGGUGCCAAGAUCCAUUCUUAAAAUUCCCAAAGCUCCUUAACGGUGGAGACGGUUCGGUACGAUCCCUCACCCCUAAUGGAAAGACAGAUCAAGCGUGUGUACCUCUGAGUGGGAUUGCAUUCCACCCUGAAUAAAGCCUCAU
Molecule: long non-coding RNA, 872 nt
Organism: Ornithorhynchus anatinus (platypus)
Lineage: Eukaryota; Metazoa; Chordata; Mammalia; Monotremata; Ornithorhynchidae
Exons: 4
Source: RefSeq, a predicted model, not a curated record